Molecule: long non-coding RNA, 1167 nt
Organism: Cheilinus undulatus (humphead wrasse)
Lineage: Eukaryota; Metazoa; Chordata; Actinopteri; Labriformes; Labridae
Exons: 11
Source: RefSeq, a predicted model, not a curated record
GCAAGGUUAACAUUGAUCACCUCAAAAAAUAUCAGAAGGAGACCCUCAGGAUUCCAAGUAAAUUGAGAGGCUCUACUGCUUGUGCAUCAACCACAGCAGCCACUUGGACAACAGCUUCAAUAACCACAGCAGCCUCCAACACCAACCACAGCAGCCAUCACAACAUCAACAACACCUGCCUCAAGCUCUACCAGAACUCCUGCCACUGCCUGCAAUGCAGAUAAAUAUGUUAGAGAGGCUUGGGAAGGCAAAGAUGUUCAUGUUCUGUUAGCAAGGAUUGGACCAUAUAAGUUGUUUUAUAAGGACAUUUACAGGACAAGUCCCAAUCAGGAACUUUAAAGUGGGGUGAUAAAUGCAUACCUGUCAAAACUUGUUAGCCAACACAAUGCCAAAGGAGGCAACAAGGCACUGCAUAUUGAUUCAUUUGCAAUGGCCGACAUAUGGACAGGGUAGAAAACACGACUAAAGUUUGAUCCAAGUGCAUACUCCAUUCUUCUGGGAGCUGUUCAUGAGCCUGGCCACUGGAAAUUUACAGCCAUCUUUCCAUCAGAACGGAGGAGCCUAGUGCUGGACUCAUUAGGCAAUGCUGCCUCCAAAGUUAAACAUUGUCAAGAGUCCACCAGGUCAUUCAUGAGACAGAGAGGACUGAAAAUAUCAGGUGGUCAUCCAAAACAGUACCACACAGCCAGCAGAAAGAUGCCACCUCUUGUGGAAUCUUCGUCUUCAAAUAUGCUACAAAAGUGCUGGCAAAGGAGCCUCCAGUCUUCAAGAACUCUGCCAAGGCAGUGAAGGCCUACAGAAUGGAGGUGGCAACCAUGUUGCUGAAUGAGACUGAUGAUCUCAGUGAGCUCUGCCAUCAUUGUGGGAGAAGGAAGAGGCAAGCUCAGAAAACAGGACCACUAACUUGAUCCAGUAUGACCAAUGCCAUCAAUGGUACCACAGUACCACCUUAAACCAGGAUUUCCCAACAUUGGGGUCGAGACUCCCAAGAAGCCACUGUCCUUUUGCUAACCACUGCAUCACCAUGCAGCCCUGGUUGGGUAUUUUCUCUUGGAUACUCUGUGUAUACCAUGAAAGGAACAGUGAGCGCCUCACUCACUGCGCCACUGCAGCCCAGCUUAACACUCUCACUUUGUUGCCUUUCACUCCCCCUGGAUUCCUGGAUUC